AGUUAACGCUGGCGGCGUGCCUAACACAUGCAAGUCGAGCGGGGUGUCAGCUGUAGCAAUACAGUAUGUGCCCAGCGGCAGACGGGUGAGUAAUACGUAGAUAACCUUCCUCUUAGAGGGGGAUAGCCCGCCGAAAGGCGGGGUAAUACCCCGUACGAUCAAGAAUUGAUAACAGUUUUUGAUGAAACAUCCGCAAGGAUGGCUGAGAGAUGGGUUUACGGCCUAUCAGCUAGUUGGUGAGGUAAUGGCUCACCAAGGCUAAGACGGGUAACCGGCCUGAAAGGGUGGACGGUCACACUGACACUGAGACACGGGUCAGACACCUACGGGAGGCAGCAGUGGGGAAUAUUGGACAAUGGGCGCAAGCCUGAUCCAGCCAUGCCGCGUGAGUGAUGAAGGCCCUAGGGUUGUAAAGCUCUUUUGUGCGGGAAGAUAAUGACGGUACCGCAAGAAUAAGCCCCGGCUAACUUCGUGCCAGCAGCCGCGGUAAAUCGU
Molecule: ribosomal RNA, 495 nt
Filed under: uncultured bacterium
Lineage: Bacteria
Description: bacterial SSU rRNA
Rfam family: Bacterial small subunit ribosomal RNA
Source: RNAcentral